Non-coding RNA from Paramuricea clavata, 640 nucleotides. The record is from the annotation of a GenBank genome assembly. NCBI's taxonomy places the organism in Eukaryota, Metazoa, Cnidaria, Anthozoa, Malacalcyonacea, Plexauridae.
GAAUGUUUGUAUCAAAUUGCAUGUCUGGUAAAGAAUUGUAAGUACGACACAUGUAUAUGAGGUGGUUUUGACUAGAAAGCUUUAAAAGUUGAGAAUAAUUGUAAAUCUGUUUACAUGCGGAAGUGGAAGUUGUUCUGUUCACUGUACAUUAUAUGAAUAUACAAGGUAUGUAGGCUUCAAUAGUUCAGUUUGUUUUAGUUUAAAAAUAAUAUUUAUCUUUCCAAAAACUGCUUUGACCGUUUGAGAUUAAGUUUCUGAAGUGAGGACCUUGCGCGAUAUCCAGUCAUACGAUUGCUUGGCACCGCGGUAUAUGGAACAUAAUUAUCUUGCAUUCUGCCUGUCCAACUUUCCAUGUUGAUCAAAAAUGGGGAUUGACUUCUCAGAUUCGGAACAAUAUAUCAUGACCAUGUCAAUAUAAUUUGCGCGUAUCCUUAGCGGGAGGGGGGGGGGGGUGUUCGCGCAAUGAGAAUGUGUUUGUCCAGGGCGUAAGCUAGUCAGAUGGUGUGUUGAUCAUGUUACAGGGCGGGGAAUAAAUGUGGAACUGAAUGCGCGCUGAUGAACGAUCACUUUCGACGCCCAGCAUAGUUUGUGUUGAAGACAAUUUUAUACGGUUUCCUUGUUACAUUAACCAACAAAUCAG